RNAcentral lists this small RNA (29 nucleotides) under Bombyx mori (domestic silkworm). RNAcentral describes it as "piRNA piR-bmo-1324667". The record is from RNAcentral. Lineage: Eukaryota; Metazoa; Arthropoda; Insecta; Lepidoptera; Bombycidae.
UGGACCUCUUUGUCGCCAUAUGCGACAGU